RNAcentral lists this ribosomal RNA (253 nucleotides) under uncultured Lachnospiraceae bacterium. RNAcentral describes it as "partial 16S ribosomal RNA". It matches the Rfam family "Bacterial small subunit ribosomal RNA", at positions 524 to 776 of the family's 1533-position model. The record is from RNAcentral. Lineage: Bacteria; Bacillati; Bacillota; Clostridia; Lachnospirales; Lachnospiraceae.
UACGUAUGGAGCAAGCGUUAUCCGGAUUUACUGGGUGUAAAGGGAGCGUAGGCGGUAAGGCAAGUCAGAAGUGAAAACCCAGGGCUCAACCUUGGGACUGCUUUUGAAACUGAGUAGCUAGAGUGCAGGAGAGGUAAGCGGAAUUCCUAGUGUAGCGGUGAAAUGCGUAGAUAUUAGGAGGAACACCAGUGGCGAAGGCGGCUUACUGGACUGUAACUGACGUUGAGGCUCGAAAGCGUGGGUAUCGAACAGG